RNAcentral lists this ribosomal RNA (430 nucleotides) under Bacteroidota bacterium. Its description in RNAcentral is "Bacteroidetes bacterium partial 16S ribosomal RNA". It matches the Rfam family "Bacterial small subunit ribosomal RNA", at positions 355 to 776 of the family's 1533-position model. The record is from RNAcentral. Lineage: Bacteria; Pseudomonadati; Bacteroidota.
UAGGGAAUCUUCGGCAAUGGGGGGAACCCUGACCGAGCAACGCCGCGUGAGUGAAGAAGGUUUUCGGAUCGUAAAGCUCUGUUGUUAAGGAAGAACGAGUGUGAGAAUGGAAAGUUCAUGCUGUGACGGUACUUAACCAGAAAGGGACGGCUAACUACGUGCCAGCAGCCGCGGUAAUACGUAGGGGGCUAGCGUUGUCCGGAAUCACUGGGCGUAAAGGGUUCGCAGGCGGAAUAACAAGUCAGAUGUGAAAGGCAUGGGCUCAACCCAUGUAAGCAUUUGAGACUGUAAUUCUUGAGAAGUGGAGAGGUAAGUGGAAUUCCUAGUGUAGCGGUGAAAUGCGUCGAUAUUAGGAGGACUCCCUGUGGCGAAGGCGACUUACUGGACACAAAUCUGACGCUGAGGAACGAAAGCGUGGGUAGCAAACAGG